RNAcentral lists this ribosomal RNA (481 nucleotides) under uncultured bacterium. RNAcentral's name for it is "bacterial SSU rRNA". It matches the Rfam family "Bacterial small subunit ribosomal RNA", at positions 30 to 507 of the family's 1533-position model. The record is from RNAcentral.
AUUGAACGCUGGCGGCAUGCCUUACACAUGCAAGUCGAACGGUAACAGGUCUUCGGAUGCUGACGAGUGGCGAACGGGUGAGUAAUACAUCGGAACGUGCCCGAUCGUGGGGGAUAACGGAGCGAAAGCUUUGCUAAUACCGCAUACGAUCUACGGAUGAAAGCAGGGGACCGCAAGGCCUUGCGCGGACGGAGCGGCCGAUGGCAGAUUAGGUAGUUGGUGGGAUAAAGCUUACCAAGCCGACGAUCUGUAGCUGGUCUGAGAGGACGACCAGCCACACUGGGACUGAGACACGGCCCAGACUCCUACGGGAGGCAGCAGUGGGGAAUUUUGGACAAUGGGCGAAAGCCUGAUCCAGCCAUGCCGCGUGCAGGAUGAAGGCCUUCGGGUUGUAAACUGCUUUUGUACGGAACGAAAAGACUCCUUCUAAUAAAGGGGGUUCAUGACGGUACCGUAAGAAUAAGCACCGGCUAACUACGUG